RNAcentral lists this long non-coding RNA (580 nucleotides) under Cicer arietinum (chickpea). RNAcentral's name for it is "long non-coding RNA (CARI_LNC002570)". The record is from RNAcentral. Lineage: Eukaryota; Viridiplantae; Streptophyta; Magnoliopsida; Fabales; Fabaceae.
UCAAAUAAUUAACAAUAUUAAAUAAUCAUCAUCUCAUCACAAACUCAACAACAACUCUUCAUAGAAAUUAAUACAAACACAACAUACAUUAUUAAUCAUCAAUGAUACUAAAUCAAAUAAAAUUAUCUCAAUACCUAAAUACACAAAUCAUGAACAUAUAUUAGGAACAUGCAACCAAUAUUUCUAAGCACACCUAAGAGAGGUUUUAAGAGGAUUUUGUAUGUUACCUUAAGAAGAAAUUUGAGACCCCAAAGUUUGAUUAUAAUUUCUUCUUCUAUAAGUAAAAUCUUAAUUCCUCUUCAUGUUUCCAUCUUUCUUCUCAACAUGCAAGAAAUCUAAACUUCUUCUUCUAUAUUGAAACUCUAGUUUUCCUUUUCUUUUUUCUCAUGAUUUCUCAUUUCACUCUCCCUUUUAGUCCUCUUCUACUCUAAUAUAGGUGUGGGGGUUGUUUCUAUGAUGAGAUGAUGAAAGGAGGAAGCUUGAGAAUGACAUGCAAUGGAGUUAGUGUGUUCUCUCUGGUUUUUUUUUCUUCCCUCUUCUUCUUUCCUCACUAUUUCUAUUUAUAUUUUCUUUUAAUUUG